CUACGUGCCAGCAGCCGCGGUAAUACGGAAGGUCCAGGCGUUAUCCGGAUUUAUUGGGUUUAAAGGGAGCGUAGGCUGGAUAUUAAGUGUGUUGUGAAAUGUAGACGCUCAACGUCUGACUUGCAGCGCAUACUGGUUUCCUUGAGUACGCACAACGUUGGCGGAAUUCGUCGUGUAGCGGUGAAAUGCUUAGAUAUGACGAAGAACUCCGAUUGCGAAGGCAGCUGACGGGAGCGCAACUGACGCUUAAGCUCGAAGGUGCGGGUAUCAAACAGGAUUAGAUACCCUGGUAGUCCGCACAGUAAACGAUGGAUGCCCGCUGUUGGUACCUGGUAUCAGCGGCUAAGCGAAAGCAUUAAGCAUCCCACCUGGGGAGUACGCCGGCAACGGUGAAACUCAAAGGAAUUGACGGGGGCCCGCACAAGCGGAGGAACAUGUGGUUUAAUUCGAUGAUACGCGAGGAACCUUACCCGGGCUUGAA
RNAcentral lists this ribosomal RNA (481 nucleotides) under uncultured bacterium. RNAcentral's name for it is "bacterial SSU rRNA". It matches the Rfam family "Bacterial small subunit ribosomal RNA", at positions 501 to 985 of the family's 1533-position model. The record is from RNAcentral.